Molecule: ribosomal RNA, 799 nt
Filed under: uncultured Glomeromycotina
Lineage: Eukaryota; Fungi; Glomeromycota
Description: SSU rRNA
Rfam family: Eukaryotic small subunit ribosomal RNA
Source: RNAcentral
AUCAACUUUCGAUGGUAGGAUAGAGGCCUACCAUGGUGGUAACGGGUAACGGGGUGUUAGGGCACGACACCGGAGAGGGAGCCUGAGAAACGGCUACCACAUCCAAGGAUGGCAGCAGGCGCGCAAAUUACCCAAUCCCGACACGGGGAGGUAGUGACAAUAAAUAACAAUACGGGGUUCUUUCGGAUUUCGUAAUUGGAAUGAGUACAAUUUAAAUCUCUUAACGAGGAACAAUUGGAGGGCAAGUCUGGUGCCAGCAGCCGCGGUAAUUCCAGCUCCAAUAGCGUAUAUUAAAGUUGUUGCAGUUAAAAAGCUCGUAGUUGAAUUUCGGGGUCGGUAGGUUGGUCAUGCCAUCGGUAUGCACUGGUCUCACCGAUUCCUCCCUCUUGUAGAAGCGUAAUGCCAUUAAUUUGGUGUUGCGGGGAAACAGGACUGUUACUUUGAAAAAAUUAGAGUGUUUAAAGCAGGCUCACGCUUGAAUACAUUAGCAUGGAAUAAUGAAAUAGGACGUUUGAUUCUAUUUUGUUGGUUUCUAGGAUCGACGUAAUGAUUAAUAGGGAUAGUUGGGGGCAUUAGUAUUCAAUUGUCAGAGGUGAAAUUCUUGGAUUUAUUGAAGACUAACUACUGCGAAAGCAUUUGCCAAGGAUGUUUUCAUUAAUCAAGAACGAAAGUUAGGGGAUCGAAGACGAUCAGAUACCGUCGUAGUCUUAACCAUAAACUAUGCCGACUAGGGAUCGGAUGAUGUUAAUUUUUUAAUGACUCAUUCGGCGCCUUACGGGAAACCAAAGUGUUUGGGUUC